Molecule: ribosomal RNA, 456 nt
Filed under: uncultured Anaerolineaceae bacterium
Lineage: Bacteria; Bacillati; Chloroflexota; Anaerolineae; Anaerolineales; Anaerolineaceae
Description: bacterial SSU rRNA
Rfam family: Bacterial small subunit ribosomal RNA
Source: RNAcentral
UUGACGGGGACCCGCACAAGCAGCGGAGCGUGUGGUUUAAUUCGUUGCUACACGAGAACCUUACCUGGGUUUGACAUAUAGGUUGUAGGGAACUGAAAGGGACCGACCCUUCGGGGAGCCUAUACAGGUGUUGCAUGGCUGUCGUCAGCUCGUGUCGUGAGAUGUUCGGUUAAGUCCGCUAACGAGCGCAACCCUCGUCGUAUGUUAUAUGUGUCAUACGAGACUGCCGGUAAAAGCCGGAGGAAGGUGAGGAUGAUGUCAAGUCAGCAUGACCUUUAUAUCCAGGGCUACACACACGCUACAAUGGUCUGUACAAUGGGUAGCCAAGCCGCGAGGCGGAGCCAAUCCUGAAAGCAGGCCUCAGUUCAGAUUGCAGUCUGCAACUCGACUGCAUGAAGCCGGAGUUGCUAGUAACCGCAGGUCAGCAAUACUGCGGUGAAUACGUUCCCGGGUCUU